RNAcentral lists this ribosomal RNA (468 nucleotides) under uncultured bacterium. RNAcentral describes it as "partial 16S ribosomal RNA". It matches the Rfam family "Bacterial small subunit ribosomal RNA", at positions 28 to 507 of the family's 1533-position model. The record is from RNAcentral.
GACGAACGCUGGCGGCAUGCUUAACACAUGCAAGUCGAACGGAAAGGCUCUGCUUUUGUGGGGUGCUCGAGUGGCGAACGGGUGAGUAACACGUGAGUAACCUGCCCUUGACUUUGGGAUAACUUCAGGAAACUGGGGCUAAUACCGGAUAGGAGCUCCUGCUGCAUGGUGGGGGUUGGAAAGUUUCGGCGGUUGGGGAUGGACUCGCGGCUUAUCAGCUUGUUGGUGGGGUAGUGGCUUACCAAGGCUUUGACGGGUAGCCGGCCUGAGAGGGUGACCGGCCACAUUGGGACUGAGAUACGGCCCAGACUCCUACGGGAGGCAGCAGUGGGGAAUAUUGCACAAUGGGCGGAAGCCUGAUGCAGCAACGCCGCGUGCGGGAUGACGGCCUUCGGGUUGUAAACCGCUUUCGCCUGUGACGAAGCGUGAGUGACGGUAAUGGGUAAAGAAGCACCGGCUAACUACGUG